This 253-nucleotide ribosomal RNA is filed under the name uncultured bacterium. RNAcentral's name for it is "partial 16S ribosomal RNA". It matches the Rfam family "Bacterial small subunit ribosomal RNA", at positions 524 to 776 of the family's 1533-position model. The record is from RNAcentral.
UACGUAGGGUGCAAGCGUUAAUCGGAAUUACUGGGCGAAAAGCGUGCGCAGGCGGUUUUGUAAGUCUGACGUGAAAUCCCCGGGCUCAACCUGGGAAUUGCGUUGGAGACUGCAAGGCUAGAAUCUGGCAGAGGGGGGUAGAAUUCCACGUGUAGCAGUGAAAUGCGUAGAGAUGUGGAGGAACACCGAUGGCGAAGGCAGCCCCCUGGGUCAAGAUUGACGCUCAUGCACGAAAGCGUGGGGAGCAAACAGG